Molecule: ribosomal RNA, 496 nt
Filed under: uncultured bacterium
Lineage: Bacteria
Description: partial 16S ribosomal RNA
Rfam family: Bacterial small subunit ribosomal RNA
Source: RNAcentral
AUGCACGCUGGCUGCGUGCCUCAUACCUGCAAGUCGAGCGAACAGACGAGGAGCUUGCUCCUCUGACGUUAGCGGCGGACGGGUGAGUAACACGUGGAUAACCUACCUAUAAGACUGGGAUAACUUCGGGAAACCGGAGCUAAUACCGGAUAAUAUAUUGAACCGCAUGGUUCAAUAGUGAAAGACGGUUUUGCUGUCACUUAUAGAUGGAUCCGCGCCGCAUUAGCUAGUUGGUAAGGUAACGGCUUACCAAGGCGACGAUGCGUAGCCGACCUGAGAGGGUGAUCGGCCACACUGGAACUGAGACACGGUCCAGACUCCUACGGGAGGCAGCAGUAGGGAAUCUUCCGCAAUGGGCGAAAGCCUGACGGAGCAACGCCGCGUGAGUGAUGAAGGUCUUCGGAUCGUAAAACUCUGUUAUUAGGGAAGAACAAAUGUGUAAGUAACUAUGCACGUCUUGACGGUACCUAAUCAGAAAGCCACGGCUAACUACGUG